This 204-nucleotide long non-coding RNA is filed under the name Panax ginseng (ginseng). Its description in RNAcentral is "long non-coding RNA (PGIN_LNC008019)". Lineage: Eukaryota; Viridiplantae; Streptophyta; Magnoliopsida; Apiales; Araliaceae. The record is from RNAcentral.
CCAUAAAUACUUCACUAGACCUAAUUUUUAUCCAACCAUGAAAUUCCUUUCAACCCAAUGCAAAUAAUAAAGAAAGUCGGCCUAAAAAGCACCUACAUCGCAGAGCGCGAAGCCAAAAAUGUGGAAUCAAAAAAGGCCUUUUUCAUGCCUAAUGCACAUGUACAGACAUACCCAGAACUAAAAUGUAAACGACAUUUCAGUAAG